GCUGUGAUGGCCGAGAGGUUAAGGCGUUGGACUCGAAAUCCUAUGGGGUCUCCUCGCGCAGGUUCGAACCCUGCUCGCAGCG
Salmo salar (Atlantic salmon) is the source of this 82-nucleotide non-coding RNA. NCBI's taxonomy places the organism in Eukaryota, Metazoa, Chordata, Actinopteri, Salmoniformes, Salmonidae. The record is from Rfam.